GAGUUUGAUCCUGGCUCAGGAUGAACGCUGGCGGCGUGCUUAAUACAUGCAAGUCGAACGAACCUUCGGGUUAGUGGCGGACGGGUGAGUAACGCGUGGGAAUCUGCCCUCAGGAGGGGGAUAACGGUUGGAAACGGCCGCUAAUACCCCAUAUGCCGAGAGGUGAAAUGAAUUUCGCCUGAGGAUGAGCCCGCGUCUGAUUAGCUAGUUGGUGAGGUAAUGGCUCACCAAGGCAUCGAUCAGUAGCUGGUCUGAGAGGAUGAUCAGCCACACUGGGACUGAGACACGGCCCAGACUCCUACGGGAGGCAGCAGUGGGGAAUUUUCCGCAAUGGGCGCAAGCCUGACGGAGCAACGCCGCGUGAGGGAUGAAGGCCUCUGGGCUGUAAACCUCUUUUCUCAAGGAAGAAGAUCUGACGGUACUUGAGGAAUAAGCCACGGCUAAUUCCGUGCCAGCAGCCGCGGUAAUACGGGAGUGGCAAGCGUUAUCCGGAAUUAUUGGGCGUAAAGCGUCCGCAGGCGGCUUUUCAAGUCUGCUGUUAAAACGUGGAGCUUAACUCCAUCAAGGCAGUGGAAACUGAUUGGCUUGAGUGUGGUAGGGGCAGAGGGAAUUCCCGGUGUAGCGGUGAAAUGCGUAGAUAUCGGGAAGAACACCAGUGGCGAAGGCGCUCUGCUGGGCCAUAACUGACGCUCAUGGACGAAAGCCAGGGGAGCGAAAGGGAUUAGAUACCCCUGUAGUCCUGGCCGUAAACGAUGAACACUAUGUGUCGGGGGAAUCGACCCCCUCGGUGUCGUAGCCAACGCGUUAAGUGUUCCGCCUGGGGAGUACGCACGCAAGUGUGAAACUCAAAGGAAUUGACGGGGGCCCGCACAAGCGGUGGAGUAUGUGGUUUAAUUCGAUGCAACGCGAAGAACCUUACCAGGGUUUGACAUCCUGCGAAUCUCUUGGAAACGAGAGAGUGCCUUUGGGAACGCAGUGACAGGUGGUGCAUGGCUGUCGUCAGCUCGUGUCGUGAGAUGUUGGGUUAAGUCCCGCAACGAGCGCAACCCACGUCUUUAGUUGCCAGCAUUUAGUUGGGCACUCUAGAGAGACCGCCGGUGAUAAACCGGAGGGAGGUGUGGAUGACGUCAAGUCAUCAUGCCCCUUACAUCCUGGGCUACACACGUACUACAAUGCUACGGACAAAGGGCAGCAAGUUCGCGAGGACAAGCAAAUCCCAUAAACCGUGGCUCAGUUCAGAUCGUAGGCUGCAACUCGCCUACGUGAAGAAGGAAUCGCUAGUAAUCGCAGGUCAGCAUACUGCGGUGAAUACGUUCCCGGGCCUUGUACACACCGCCCGUCACACCAUGGAAGUUGGCCACGCCCGAAGUCGUUACUCCAACCCUUGUGGAGGAGGACGCCGAAGGUGGGGCUGAUGACUGGGGUGAAGUCGUAACAAGGUAGCCGU
This 1447-nucleotide ribosomal RNA is filed under the name uncultured bacterium. RNAcentral describes it as "bacterial SSU rRNA". It matches the Rfam family "Bacterial small subunit ribosomal RNA". The record is from RNAcentral.